Molecule: long non-coding RNA, 905 nt
Organism: Pecten maximus
Lineage: Eukaryota; Metazoa; Mollusca; Bivalvia; Pectinida; Pectinidae
Exons: 2
Source: RefSeq, a predicted model, not a curated record
AAUGGAGAUAAACAGCUAUAUAGAAAUGAUCAAUACAAACAGUGAAUUCAACAUUUGGAGAAUUUAAAAGGUCAUAAGAUAAAGAGAUUUGUCCUACUGAAACAUUUGAUAAUGGUGAUUGAAUCGAGUAUAAUGCUGAUUCAGUAGACUUUAAUUCCUUCAGAUCUUAUCUUGGUACAUUUCAUGGUUCUUUCAGAUUUUUCAUACCACAAAUCAAGCAUUUUUCAACCACUAAUCCAGCACUUUUUCUCAAUUUUCCAGGUGCAUUUUAAGUCCAAACUUGUCAAUACUAAAUCUACCCAGGUAAUCUGGCCUUAUCAGUAGAUACAACACUAAAACUACCCAGGUAAUCUGGCCUUAUCAGUAGAUACAGCACUAAAACUACCCAGGUAAUCUGGCCUUAUCAGUAGAUACAACACCAAAACUACCCAGGUAAUCUGGCCUUAUCAGUAGAUACAACACCAAAAACUACCCAGGUAAUCUGGCCUUAUCAGUAGAUACAACACUAAAACUACCCAGGUAAUCUGGCCUUAUCAGUAGAUACAGCACUAAAACUACCCAGGUAAUCUGGCCUUAUCAGUAGAUACAACACUAAAACUACCCAGGUAAUCUGGCCUUAUCAGUAGAUACAGCACUAAAACUACCCAGGUAAUCUGGCCUUAUCAGUAGAUACAACACCAAAACUACCCAGGUAAUCUGGCCUUAUCAGUAGAUACAACACCAAAAACUACCCAGGUAAUCUGGCCUUAUCAGUAGAUACAACACUAAAACUACCCAGGUAAUCCGGCCUUAUCAGUAGAUACAGCACUAAAACUACCCAGGUAAUCUGGCUGGCUGAGGGGGAAGGUGGGGGAUGAUUGAGGCAUAACAUUGCAGAAAAAUACAGCUUGCCAUCAAACAAUCUU